UUUCAUUUCACAAAACCCAUUUUAUUCUAAAACUCAAUUUCAUCCAUCGAUCAACUCAUCGAAACUCAUUUCACCGAAACCCAAAAUCAUCCAUCGAUCAACUCAUCGCAUGCACCCUUCUCUCAUUGCACAACUCAUUUCAGCGAAACUCUUACUCUCAUCGCAUAGCUCAUUCGCUCAUUUCACAGCUUAACGACGUGCACGAUGAAGAAACCUGACUAAUUGGUUGCGAUGGUUUCAUAUAUUCACUUAUUUUGCAAUGGUUUCAUCUAUUCUAAGAUGAAUAUUUUUUGGUACUCCCAAUGAACGAGUUGUUUGAAUGUUCACUUUACGCUCAUAAUGAACGAGUUGUUGAUGCAGUAGAAGAUUGAAGAAUAGGUGAAAUCGAAAGAAGCUGGAUUUCCUCGCCGAAUGGAGGGAGGUAGCAUCUCUAGACUUAAUUAUUCUGGUACUUUCAUGUCCAACUUUUUUUUUUUGGCUUUGGAUAUAGGGUUCUCAUAGUGUAAUACAAUACAAUUCUAUUUUUAAUAGUGUGUGUUUAUGAAAGUUUCUGAUAGCGUUUCUCUAGUCUGAUUCACUUGUAUGUUUAAGGGAUACACUCAUGGAUUAUGAUGACAAUGACUAUCAAAGAUAGAAUCUCAAUUUAGCUGGUGAAGGGAGUACCAAAUUGGGGGUAAUGGUUUUGUUUUGUGUGAUUCUGUUUUUUGAUUUCACUGAUUUUACUCUUUCGUUUUUGGGUUUUUGAUAAUCUAAUUGGAUAUGUGCGGUUCUAUAUCCUUUCUGGGAUUUUCUAGUUUUUGUGUUUAUGUGCAUCUAUUAUAACCAAACACCUCACAUUUUCCUCAAUAUUAUGAUAGCAAUAUUGUUGUGUAUUGUGGAAGUAAGGGUACAGUUGGAAAGUAAACUUGUUAGUCGUUUAGUAUAGAUCUCUUUUGAUGUGUUUUGGUUUUCUAGAAGUAUGUAUUUUGCUUCACUUUAUAUCAUUUCUCAACAAUAUCUUCGUAUCCAUUAUAAUAUAAGUAUAUUUUUAAAGAGUUGGGUGGAAAUUUGCAUUGUUGUCAAUACACCUCCAGAUGAAUAAAUAUCAACUUGUAGAUUUUAAAUGAUGUGUUCUGUUGAAAAAUGUAAAGAUAACUCUCCAAACCUUUUUUUAGUUUCUUGUCUUAUAAUACUUGGUUCCUGGAAGUUAUUUAUUUAGUAGUUCCAUUGGUAGGGUCCUAAGGUCGUCAUAGCAGGAAAAGUGAAAGGCAAAUUGAAGGUUACUCGCGCAUUUGGAGUUGGCUACUUAAAAAAGAAAAGUCUGAAUGAUGCUUUGAUGGGAAUCCUUAGAGUUCGCGACCUUACGAGCCCACCAUAUGUUUCCACUCAACCAUCACUAAAUGUCCAUAAAAUCUCAAACUCUGAUCAAUUUGUUAUAGUAGGGAGUGAUGGACUGUUCGACUUCUUCAGCAAUGAAGAGGUGGUGAAACUUGUUGAAUCUUACAUCUUAAGGAAUCCUUUUGGUGAUCCUGCAAAGUUUCUCAUUGAGCAACUUGUAGCUAGAGCAGCUGAUUCUGCAGGUUUUAGCAUGGAAGAGUUGAUGAAUAUUCCGGCCGGGAGGAGAAGAAAGUACCAUGAUGAUGUUACUGUAAUAGUGAUCAUGCUUGGGAUGAAUCAACGGACUUCAAAAGCUUCAACUUGCAUCUAAGACAGACUAGGAUAUGAUGCGGUUUUCAAUCUCGGCCGUUAAUAUGAGAUAUGACAGUUUAGAUUACACUGUAACAAAUUCUGCUUAAAAUCAACCUAGACCAUUAAUUUGAGAUCAGAGUCGAAAUCAAAACUGCGUGACACAUAUACUGCACCAAAUCCAAAUGCAUAUGAAAUUGUCCAAAGAUAACUUGUGUGUAAGCUUGUAUGUUAAGAUCCAGAAAGAUAGUGAAGUGAGACUAAAGAUAAUUGGGACUAGAGUGGACACAACUGAAAUUGUUUGCUUCGUUGUCCCACGGAUCUAAUGUUCAAGGACUUGAAACAACUGCGACAUUUGAUCCAAAAACGGACGAGUUUGUUAUUCACAGUCCCACGUUGACUUCCAGCAAACUUGUCACUGGAAUUGCACUUCCACAUGGAUCAAACAAACUUUAUUCUGGCAGCACCGAUGGGACACUUCGGACAUGGGACUGUGUUACUGGUCAAUGUACUAAUUUUGUUUGGCAAUAAAGAGUCUCUGUGAAUCUUCAGUGGUUUUUUGCUUUUCUAUGUUUGGGACCUAGACAAAUUUGAGUGUAAAAUGACACUCAAUGCGCAUACAGGAGAAGUCACAUCCCUUAUUUGUUGGGAAAAAUUCUUGCUAUCCGGUUCAUCAGACUGCACUAUCAAGGUCUGGUAUAAAACCGUCGAGGAUACAUGUGGAAAGCGGUUGGAUUCAAUUGGACUAGAGAACACCGAAGCUAACCGUCAAGUAUGGCGUAAAAUUAUAUAUGAAGAAAGUGUUAUGACUUGGUUAAAAUAUAAUUUUUAUGUGUAUGAUUUUAUAGUACUUGAAAUAUUAUGAAUGCACAUGAUUUUGUAUA
Vicia villosa (hairy vetch) is the source of this 2549-nucleotide long non-coding RNA. RefSeq lists it as uncharacterized. The transcript has 8 exons. Lineage: Eukaryota; Viridiplantae; Streptophyta; Magnoliopsida; Fabales; Fabaceae. The record is from RefSeq and is a predicted model, not a curated record.